This 432-nucleotide ribosomal RNA is filed under the name Enterobacter sp. Mn2. RNAcentral's name for it is "bacterial SSU rRNA". It matches the Rfam family "Bacterial small subunit ribosomal RNA", at positions 97 to 525 of the family's 1533-position model. The record is from RNAcentral. Lineage: Bacteria; Pseudomonadati; Pseudomonadota; Gammaproteobacteria; Enterobacterales; Enterobacteriaceae.
GGCGGACGGGUGAGUAAUGUCUGGGAAACUGCCUGAUGGAGGGGGAUAACUACUGGAAACGGUAGCUAAUACCGCAUAACGUCGCAAGACCAAAGAGGGGGACCUUCGGGCCUCUUGCCAUCAGAUGUGCCCAGAUGGGAUUAGCUAGUAGGUGGGGUAANGGCUCACCUAGGCGACGAUCCCUAGCUGGUCUGAGAGGAUGACCAGCCACACUGGAACUGAGACACGGUCCAGACUCCUACGGGAGGCAGCAGUGGGGAAUAUUGCACAAUGGGCGCAAGCCUGAUGCAGCCAUGCCGCGUGUAUGAAGAAGGCCUUCGGGUUGUAAAGUACUUUCAGCGGGGAGGAAGGUGUUGCGGUUAAUAACCGCAGCAAUUGACGUUACCCGCANAAGAAGCACCGGCUAACUCCGUGCCAGCAGCCGCGGUAAUA